GUCAGAAGGAACAAAGAAAAUGGGCUGCUGACAAGACUGCUGCAGUGACAAGAGGCUGCAGCAAAUAGGUCAGAGCAAUUAUCUCUCAACUUUCAAUCUCCUAUCAGUUUAGGACUUUAGGUGAAGACAUGGUGAUGAAAAUAUCUUUGUCCACCUCAGCAACACGCUGUGAGAGGCAGCUUAUGGAAUAAGAUACUGAAA
Molecule: long non-coding RNA, 201 nt
Filed under: Gallus gallus (chicken)
Lineage: Eukaryota; Metazoa; Chordata; Aves; Galliformes; Phasianidae
Source: RNAcentral